GAUGAACGCUGGCGGCGUGCCUAAUACAUGCAAGUCGAGCGAACGGACGAGAAGCUUGCUUCUCUGAUGUUAGCGGCGGACGGGUGAGUAACACGUGGAUAACCUACCUAUAAGACUGGGAUAACUUCGGGAAACCGGAGCUAAUACCGGAUAAUAUUUUGAACCGCAUGGUUCAAAAGUGAAAGACGGUCUUGCUGUCACUUAUAGCUGGAUCCGCGCUGCAUUAGCUAGUUGGUAAGGUAACGGCUUACCAAGGCAACGGUGCAUAGCCGACCUGAGAGGGUGAUCGGCCACACUGGAACUGAGACACGGUCCAGACUCCUACGGGAGGCAGCAGUAGGGAAUCUUCCGCGAUGGGCGAAAGCCUGACGGAGCAACGCCGCGUGAGUGAUGAAGGUCUUCGGAUCGUAAAACUCUGUUAGUAGGGAAGAACAUAUGUGUAAGCAACUGUGCACAUCUUGACGGUACCUAAUCAGAAAGCCACGGCUAACUACGUG
RNAcentral lists this ribosomal RNA (497 nucleotides) under uncultured bacterium. Its description in RNAcentral is "partial 16S ribosomal RNA". It matches the Rfam family "Bacterial small subunit ribosomal RNA", at positions 28 to 507 of the family's 1533-position model. The record is from RNAcentral.